GGACUACCGGGGUAUCUAAUCCUGUUUGCUCCCCACGCUUUCGCACCUCAGCGUCAGUAUCAGUCCAGCGAGUCGCCUUCGCCACUGGUGUUCCACCGAAUAUCUACGAAUUUCACCUCUACACUCGGUAUUCCACUCGCCUCUCCUGACCUCGAGAUCUGCAGUCUUGAAGGCAAUUCCAGGGUUGAGCCCUGGGCUUUCACCCCCAACUUACAGACCCGCCUACGUGCGCUUUACGCCCAGUAAUUCCGAACAACGCUAGCCCCCUUCGUAUUACCGCGGCUGCUGGCAC
This 292-nucleotide ribosomal RNA is filed under the name uncultured bacterium. RNAcentral describes it as "partial 16S ribosomal RNA". The record is from RNAcentral.